AACCCUUGUGGAGGAGGACGCCGAAGGUGGGGCUAAUGACUGGGGUGAAGUCGUAACAAGGUAGCCGUACCGGAAGGUGCGGCUGGAUCACCUCCUAACAGGGAGACAACAAAAUGUUUAAUAUUAUUAUUUUGUCACCUUAGGUCGAUCGGUAUCUCACGUUUUUAAUUUAUUAAGAAUUUCAUUUCCUAAGUUUUUCUAGGUCACACCCAUUAUUUUUCCUGGGCCAUUAGCUCAGGUGGUUAGAGCGCACCCCUGAUAAGGGUGAGGUCCCUGGUUCAAGUCCAGGAUGGCCCAUAUCUCUAUGUUGGGGGUAUAGCUCAGUUGGUAGAGCGCCUGCUUUGCAAGCAGGAUGUCAGCGGUUCGAGUCCGCUUACCUCCACUGAUUACCACCUCUUCCAUAACCGGUACAAAGGAAAUUUUUUGAGUUGUGAUCAAAUUCUGAAAGAAUCUAGCUUCCUAAUGAAAUCAUUAAGAUGCUGGACUCAUUGAAUUAAUUUCAUUGUUUUCAGAGAACCUUGACAACUGCAUAGAUUAUUUUUAAAGACAAUAAGCAUCUUUAAUGAUGCAGAUUUAUUAUUUGUGCGAAUGCAUUAAUAACAAUUCUAUUGAGCUGAUGCUUCAAUUUUUGAAGUUAUUGGUCAAGCUACAAAGGGCUCACGGAGGAUACCUAGGCACACA
RNAcentral lists this unclassified non-coding RNA (681 nucleotides) under uncultured Prochlorococcus sp. Its description in RNAcentral is "partial may contain 16S ribosomal RNA, 16S-23S ribosomal RNA intergenic spacer, and 23S ribosomal RNA". The stretch from base 1 to 98 matches the Rfam family "Bacterial small subunit ribosomal RNA", at positions 1437 to 1533 of the family's 1533-position model. Lineage: Bacteria; Bacillati; Cyanobacteriota; Cyanophyceae; Synechococcales; Prochlorococcaceae. The record is from RNAcentral.